GACGAACGCUGGCGGCGUGCUUAACACAUGCAAGUCGAACGGAAAGGCCCUGCUUUUGUGGGGUGCUCGAGUGGCGAACGGGUGAGUAACACGUGAGUAACCUGCCCUUGACUUUGGGAUAACUUCAGGAAACUGGGGCUAAUACCGGAUAGGAGCUCCUGCUGCAUGGUGGGGGUUGGAAAGUUUCGGCGGUUGGGGAUGGACUCGCGGCUGAUCAGCUUGUUGGUGGGGUAGUGGCUUACCAAGGCUUUGACGGGUAGCCGGCCUGAGAGGGUGACCGGCCACAUUGGGACUGAGAUACGGCCCAGACUCCUACGGGAGGCAGCAGUGGGGAAUAUUGCACAAUGGGCGGAAGCCUGAUGCAGCAACGCCGCGUGCGGGAUGACGGCCUUCGGGUUGUAAACCGCUUUCGGCUGUGACGAAGCGUGAGUGACGGUAAUGGGUAAAGAAGCACCGGCUAACUACGUG
Molecule: ribosomal RNA, 468 nt
Filed under: uncultured bacterium
Lineage: Bacteria
Description: partial 16S ribosomal RNA
Rfam family: Bacterial small subunit ribosomal RNA
Source: RNAcentral